UAGGGAAUCUUCGGCAAUGGGGGGAACCCUGACCGAGCAACGCCGCGUGAGUGAAGAAGGUUUUCGGAUCGUAAAGCUCUGUUGUUAAGGAAGAACGAGUGUGAGAAUGGAAAGUUCAUACUGUGACGGUACUUAACCAGAAAGGGACGGCUAACUACGUGCCAGCAGCCGCGGUAAUACGUAGGGCCCGAGCGUUGUCCGGAUUUAUUGGGCGUAAAGCGAGCGCAGGCGGUUAGAUAAGUCUGAAGUUAAAGGCAGUGGCUCAACCGUUGUAGGCUUUGGAAACUGUUUAACUUGAGUGCAGAAGGGGGGAGUGGAAUUCCAUGUGUAGCAGUGAAAUGCGUAGAUAUAUGGAGGAACACCGGUGGCGAAAGCGGCUCUCUGGUCUGUAACUGACGCUGAGGCUCGAAAGCGUGGGGAGCGAACAGG
RNAcentral lists this ribosomal RNA (429 nucleotides) under Bacteroidota bacterium. RNAcentral describes it as "Bacteroidetes bacterium partial 16S ribosomal RNA". It matches the Rfam family "Bacterial small subunit ribosomal RNA", at positions 355 to 776 of the family's 1533-position model. Lineage: Bacteria; Pseudomonadati; Bacteroidota. The record is from RNAcentral.